CUGAGUCACAGGUAGCACUCUAAAUUUUUUUUCUGUACAAUUUUUCUCCUGCAGUUAAUAAUUUAACUCCUAAUUUGCCUUUUUUUUUUUUUUUUUUACCAAGUUAUACAUGCAACUAUCUCUAAUUCAUCUUCAAGCUAGAUCUCCUUUCAACAUCUUCAAAACACAUCAGAUGCGCAAACUGAGGCUGCAAGAAAAUAAAUGACACAUCCAAACCCUCACAUCUAGAAAGUGACAGCAAUGGUGUUGAAUCAAGGCAGCUGGACUCCAGCAAGCACGUGAAAUCCAGUUUCUGCUUUCACUUAGCUAUGGAACUUCCCCACACUUUUAUUUUCUAAGUCAUCUGCAAGGCUUUUGAAAUAAGAAAAUGUACAUACUAAACCCAGGUUUGCUUGGUUUCCCACAGAUCCUAGCUGAAAAUGCUUAAUAAAUAAUUUUGAGUGAUUCAUUCUUCCAAGUCCUGAAAUCUUUGGAAGAGUGACCCAACAAAAAUUCUGGCAGUUGUUUUUAUUAAUGAUGCAUGGGUGGUAAUCACACAGGUUGGAGGAGAGAAGGAUAGAACUGAAAACAAAAA
Molecule: long non-coding RNA, 574 nt
Filed under: Callithrix jacchus (white-tufted-ear marmoset)
Lineage: Eukaryota; Metazoa; Chordata; Mammalia; Primates; Cebidae
Description: lncRNA (ENSCJAG00000075806.1)
Source: RNAcentral